AACGAACGCUGGCGGCAUGCCUAACACAUGCAAGUCGAACGAGACCUUCGGGUCUAGUGGCGCACGGGUGCGUAACGCGUGGGAACCUGCCCUUAGGUUCGGAAUAACUCCCCGAAAGGGGUGCUAAUACCGGAUAAUGUCUUCGGACCAAAGAUUUAUUGCCUUUGGAUGGGCCCGCGUUGGAUUAGCUAGUUGGUAGGGUAAAAGCCUACCAAGGCGACGAUGCAUAGCUGGUCUGAGAGGAUGAUCAGCCACACUGGGACUGAGACACGGCCCAGAAUCCUACGGGAGGCAGCAGUGGGGAAUAUUGGACAAUGGGCGAAGGCCUGAUCCAGCAAUGCCGCGUGAGUGAUGAAGGCCUUAGGGUUGUAAAGCUCUUUUACCCGGGAUGAUAAUGACGGUACCGGGAGAAUAAGCUCCGGCUAACUCCGUG
This 433-nucleotide ribosomal RNA is filed under the name uncultured bacterium. Its description in RNAcentral is "partial 16S ribosomal RNA". It matches the Rfam family "Bacterial small subunit ribosomal RNA", at positions 29 to 507 of the family's 1533-position model. The record is from RNAcentral.